GGAUGUGAGGGUAAUAUAGCUGUGACAUCUGUCACCUCAUUAUUCACUGGGGUUGUUUCAGCUGAUAUGGCUGGCUAGGUUAAUGUUCCUUUCCUCCCUCACUUCUCUAUGUGUAUGCCUCCCAAAGUUCUGUGUUUGGUCAAAGAGGAUGACCUUCCCACUAAAGCAUGACCUCUCUUUGAUACAAGUAGCUGAACUCUCCUGGUAUAAUCUCUAAACAAGCUNNNNNNNNN
This 233-nucleotide small RNA is filed under the name Dasypus novemcinctus (nine-banded armadillo). Its description in RNAcentral is "7SK RNA (ENSDNOG00000037742.1)". It matches the Rfam family "7SK RNA", at positions 1 to 243 of the family's 331-position model. Rfam says of the family: 7SK was discovered as an abundant small nuclear RNA in the mid-70s but a possible function has only recently been suggested. Two independent studies have found that 7SK RNA binds the CDK9/cyclin T complex (known as elongation factor P-TEFb). P-TEFb activates transcription by phosphorylating the C-terminal domain of RNA polymerase II. The record is from RNAcentral. Lineage: Eukaryota; Metazoa; Chordata; Mammalia; Cingulata; Dasypodidae.